Molecule: ribosomal RNA, 492 nt
Filed under: uncultured bacterium
Lineage: Bacteria
Description: partial 16S ribosomal RNA
Rfam family: Bacterial small subunit ribosomal RNA
Source: RNAcentral
AGUGAACGCUGGCGGUAGGCCUAACACAUGCAAGUCGAACGGCAGCACAGUAAGAGCUUGCUCUUACGGGUGGCGAGUGGCGGACGGGUGAGGAAUACAUCGGAAUCUACUUUUUCGUGGGGGAUAACGUAGGGAAACUUACGCUAAUACCGCAUACGACCUACGGGUGAAAGCAGGGGAUCUUCGGAACUUGCGCGAUUGAAUGAGCCGAUGUCGGAUUAGCUAGUUGGCGGGGUAAAGGCCCACCAAGGCGACGAUCCGUAGCUGGUCUGAGAGGAUGAUCAGGCACAAUGGAACUGAGACACGGUCCAGACUCCUACGGGAGGCAGCAGUGGGGAAUAUUGGACAAUGGGCGCAAGCCUGAUCCAGCCAUACCGCGUGGGUGAAGAAGGCCUUCGGGUUGUAAAGCCCUUUUGUUGGGAAAGAAAAGCAGCAGGUUAAUACCCCGCUGUUCUGACGGUACCCAAAGAAUAAGCACCGGCUAACUUCGUG